GCUUCCGUUGAUUGAGGUGCUUGCACUGAUUUCAACACCGAAGCGAGUGGCGAACUGGUGAGUAACACGUGGGAAAUCUGCCCAGAAGCAGGGGAUAACACUUGGAAACAGGUGCUAAUACCGCAUAACAACAAGAACCGCAUGGUUCUUGUUUGAAAGGUGGCUUCGGCUAUCACUUCUGGAUGAUCCCGCGGCGUAUUAGUUAGUUGGUGAGGUAAAGGCCCACCAAGACAAUGAUACGUAGCCGACCUGAGAGGGUAAUCGGCCACAUUGGGACUGAGACACGGCCCAAACUCCUACGGGAGGCAGCAGUAGGGAAUCUUCCACAAUGGACGAAAGUCUGAUGGAGCAAUGCCGCGUGAGUGAAGAAGGGUUUCGGCUCGUAAAACUCUGUUGUUAAAGAAGAACACUUCUGAGAGUAACUGUUCAGAAGUUGACGGUAUUUAACCAGAAAGCCACGGCUAACUACGUGCCAGCAGCCGCGGUAAUACGUAGGUGGCAAGCGUUGUCCGGAUUUAUUGGGCGUAAAGCGAGCGCAGGCGGUUUUUUAAGUCUGAUGUGAAAGCCUUCGGCUUAACCGGAGAAGUGCAUCGGAAACUGGGAAACUUGAGUGCAGAAGAGGACAGUGGAACUCCAUGUGUAGCGGUGGAAUGCGUAGAUAUAUGGAAGAACACCAGUGGCGAAAGCGGCUGUCUAGUCUGUAACUGACGCUGAGGCUCGAAAGCAUGGGUAGCGAACAGGAUUAGAUACCCUGGUAGUCCAUGCCGUAAACGAUGA
Molecule: ribosomal RNA, 777 nt
Filed under: uncultured Lactobacillus sp.
Lineage: Bacteria; Bacillati; Bacillota; Bacilli; Lactobacillales; Lactobacillaceae
Description: bacterial SSU rRNA
Rfam family: Bacterial small subunit ribosomal RNA
Source: RNAcentral